Long non-coding RNA from Prosopis cineraria, 1518 nucleotides. RefSeq lists it as uncharacterized. Lineage: Eukaryota; Viridiplantae; Streptophyta; Magnoliopsida; Fabales; Fabaceae. The transcript has 3 exons. The record is from RefSeq and is a predicted model, not a curated record.
GACGAAUCUGUCAAAUCUCUCUAUACUGUCCUUCUUCCCGCCAGGUCAUCCGAACAAACGCUCUUCCCUCUCUACGUCAUGCUUGUCUAGGACGAUCAUGGAGACUAAUCAAUUCUCUCACAUGCCCACUUCAACGUAUCCACACUUUCAUCCACACACUUCCCUCUAAUUAUCUCCACAAAUCUACAUUACCAAGCAAGACCGGCAAGGGAUGCCUCGCACUUUGUUAGGAGCAGAGUUUACAGCCCCCCAUUUCCGUGACUCGGCUUUACUUGCCAUCCACUCAAUUAAGUCUUGCCGACAGCUUCCGAUCAUCGUAGGAGGAUCCAACUCGUAUAUAUAUUGAGGCACUAAUCGACGACGAUGACUACAAAUUCCGAUCCAGGUAUGAUUUCUGUUGUCUCUGGGUAGAUGUGUCCAUGCCCCGUACUCGAUCAAUAUGUGGCCAAACGUCAAUAUACAACGGCUUCUCUUUCAACUUUUGCUUUCACUACCAGAUCGCUCUCACCCUUCACUUCGUCAAACUCGUCUCUAAUCUCUUCCGCUUCUCCUCUCUCCAUCUCCUGCUGAACCCAGCUGGCUGGAUCUGUUCACUCUGAGAAAGUUCAACAACUGCACAUGUACAAGAUCAAUGAGCCAGAACGUGCAAGUCCUGCCAUUCUCCGGCUGAGUCAGAAUUUAGGAAUGGGUGGUAUCGGAAAAACUGCUAGCAGUACGCUAAAUCCUUGAUGUGUCAAUGCCCCUACUCGAUCAAUAAGCCAAGUGGCCAAACAGAUUAAUCAGAUGUUGGAGAAUGAUGGAAUGAUGGAUGAUAAGCUAAGACCACUUUUCAAUCCAAAGGGAAGACUACUACUCACAAGGGAUUAGAAAAGCAAUUGAAGUUGUCGAGUUCGAUCAGUAUUUUUAAAAGGAAUCGUUUAUCAUGGAUGAAGGUUAGUGAAAGAAGCGGUGAAUAAUGAAAUGAAGAAGAACACGUACAAAUUGGCACGUAAACAAAUGGGGAAGAUUCACAAAUGUCGUUGCCUUACAAGUCAUAUCUGAAAAUUUUGAAAAGUAUGCAAGACAUACUAUAAGUAAGUGUCGUUACUCAUUAAAGAGCACGCAAAGGAAGCAUCUCAACGAGUAAGCCAUCGAUCAAGCGGACGUGGAUAUGUGUACAAGUCCUCAAGUUACACGACUGGUGUAUUUUAAAUUUUUAGGUCCGAAGCUAGGAGAAAAACUGGUGCUAGGAAGGGUAAUCUUUAUGUCAACGACUUUUUUAAUGCUCAUGCUUUUGCAUUUGAGUGGGAUGACUGGGAAAGCACACUGCCAACGUGUUGCUGAUAGGGUUGGGCCACUUCAUGUGCAAUAAUUAAUAGAUUUUGAUGUCCGAUUAUAUUUGGAAGACCGACAAUGACUGUGUGGUGUGUUGUGCUUUUCUUAUAGUUUUGGACAUUUUUGUCACAUGAAACUACUUUUUGGAUGCCUGCAUUUGUGGGGGGUCAAUAGACAGAGGACAGAGAAGGACCCACUCCUGUA